CCCAACCACAAAUUCAAGAUGCAAGCGCACUUUGAAAAAAAUAAAAGUAAAGUUGGUAAACCUGCAGGGGAUAUAGUUAAAGUUGAUUUCCAAAGGAUCAACCAUGGAGAUUAUACAAGGAACACGAACUCCAUGUAUACAAAUGGGAUAUAAAAAUAAGAAGGCGUCCGUGUUGUAUUUCGUUUUUAUAUCAGAACAUACCCAUCAUAUAGGUUAAAAGAAAUUGCUUUUUACAAUGGUCUCAAAAAUGUUAUUAGGUUAAAUAAACACGUAUAUCAUUGAUAA
This 285-nucleotide long non-coding RNA is filed under the name Polistes fuscatus (common paper wasp). Its description in RNAcentral is "uncharacterized LOC122523358". Lineage: Eukaryota; Metazoa; Arthropoda; Insecta; Hymenoptera; Vespidae. The record is from RNAcentral.